This 84-nucleotide small nucleolar RNA is filed under the name Nelumbo nucifera (sacred lotus). RNAcentral's name for it is "Small nucleolar RNA U54". It matches the Rfam family "Small nucleolar RNA U54". Rfam says of the family: U54 is a C/D box small nucleolar RNA, which acts as a methylation guide for 18S ribosomal RNA in plants. Lineage: Eukaryota; Viridiplantae; Streptophyta; Magnoliopsida; Proteales; Nelumbonaceae. The record is from Rfam by way of RNAcentral.
GGCUCAAUGAUUGCUAGCCUUAAUUUGGCAGUAUACGCUAUUCUGAGUAUUACAAUUGGCUGAGAAUUAAUUAUAAUGAGAGCU